UGGGGAAUCUUGCGCAAUGGGCGAAAGCCUGACGCAGCGACGCCGCGUGAGUGAUGAAGGCCUUCGGGUUGUAAAGCUCUGUGGAGGGGGACGAAUAAGGGCCGUCGAAUAGACGUCCCGAUGACGGUACCCCUUUAGCAAGCACCGGCUAACUCUGUGCCAGCAGCCGCGGUAAGACAGAGGGUGCAAACGUUGUUCGGAAUUACUGGGCGUAAAGCGCGUGUAGGCGGCUCGGCAAGUCGGGUGUGAAAGCCCUGGGCUUAACCUAGGAAGUGCACUCGAAACUGCCAAGCUUGAGUUCUGGAGAGGAAGGCGGAAUUCUCGGUGUAGAGGUGAAAUUCGUAGAUAUCGAGAGGAACACCGGUGGCGAAGGCGGCCUUCUGGACAGCAACUGACGCUGAGACGCGAAAGCGUGGGGAGCAAACAGG
Molecule: ribosomal RNA, 428 nt
Filed under: uncultured bacterium
Lineage: Bacteria
Description: bacterial SSU rRNA
Rfam family: Bacterial small subunit ribosomal RNA
Source: RNAcentral